CGGGAUGGGAGACUGCGUCCAUUAGUUAGUUGGUGGGGUAAAGGCCUACCAAGACUAUGAUGUGUAGCCGGGCUGAGAGGUUGAACGGCCACAUUGGGACUGAGACACGGCCCAAACUCCUACGGGAGGCAGCAGUAGGGAAUUUUCGGCAAUGGAGGAAACUCUGACCGAGCAACGCCGCGUGAACGAUGAAGUAUUUCGGUACGUAAAGUUCUUUUAUUAGGGAAGAAUAAAUGAUGGAAAAAUCAUUCUGACGGUACCUAAUGAAUAAGCCCCGGCUAACUAUGUGCCAGCAGCCGCGGUAAUACAUAGGGGGCAAGCGUUAUCCGGAAUUAUUGGGCGUAAAGGGUGCGUAGGCUGUUAAAUAAGUUUAUGGUCUAAGUGCAAUGCUCAACAUUGUGAUGCUAUAAAAACUGUUUAGCUAGAGUAAGAUAGAGGCAAGUGGAAUUCCAUGUGUAGUGGUAAAAUGCGUAAAUAUAUGGAGGAACACCAGUAGCGAAGGCGGCUUGCUGGGUCUUUACUGACGCUGAGGCACGAAAGCGUGGGGAGCAAACAGGAUUAGAUACCCUGGUAGUCCACGCCGUAAACGAUGAGUACUAAACGUUGGGUAAAACCAGUGUUGAAGUUAACACAUUAAGUACUCCGCCUGAGUAGUACGUACGCAAGUAUGAAACUUAAAGGAAUUGACGGGACUCCGCACAAGCGGUGGAUCAUGUUGUUUAAUUCGAAGGUACCCGAAAAACCUCACCAGGUCUUGACAUGCUUCUGCAAAGCUGUAGAAACACAGUGGAGGUUAUCAGUUGCACAGGUGGUGCAUGGUUGUCGUCAGCUCGUGUCGUGAGAUGUUGGGUUAAGUCCCGCAACGAGCGCAACCCUUAUUGUUAGUUGCCAGCACGUAAUGGGUGGGGACUUUAACAAGACUGCCAGUGAUAAAUUGGAGGAAGGUGGGGGACGACGUCAAAUCAUCAGGGCCCCUUAUGACCUGGGCUACAAACGUGAUACAAUGGCUGUGACGAGCGGUACCUCAACCGCAAGUUUUUGGCGAAUCUC
Molecule: ribosomal RNA, 1050 nt
Filed under: Aster yellows phytoplasma
Lineage: Bacteria; Bacillati; Mycoplasmatota; Mollicutes; Acholeplasmatales; Acholeplasmataceae
Description: bacterial SSU rRNA
Rfam family: Bacterial small subunit ribosomal RNA
Source: RNAcentral